Molecule: ribosomal RNA, 497 nt
Filed under: uncultured bacterium
Lineage: Bacteria
Description: partial 16S ribosomal RNA
Rfam family: Bacterial small subunit ribosomal RNA
Source: RNAcentral
GAUGAACGCUGGCGGCGUGCCUAAUACAUGCAAGUCGAGCGAACAGACGAGGAGCUUGCUCCUCUGACGUUAGCGGCGGACGGGUGAGUAACACGUGGAUAACCUACCUAUAAGACUGGGAUAACUUCGGGAAACCGGAGCUAAUGCCGGAUAAUAUAUUGAACCGCAUGGUUCAAUAGUGAAAGACGGUUUUGCUGUCACUUAUAGAUGGAUCCGCGCCGCAUUAGCUAGUUGGUAAGGUAACGGCUUACCAAGGCAACGAUGCGUAGCCGACCUGAGAGGAUGAUCGGCAACACUGGAACUGAGACGAGGUCCAGACUCCGACGGGAGGCAGCAGUAGGGAAUCUUCCGCAAUGGGCGAAAGCUUGACGGAGCAACGCCGCGUGAGUGAUGAAGAUCUUCGGAUCGUAAAACACUGUUAUUAGGGAAGAACAAAUGUGUAAGUAACUAUGCGCGUCUUGACGGUACCUAAUCAGAAAGCCACGGCUAACUACGUG